AGUGAACGCUGGCGGUAGGCCUAACACAUGCAAGUCGAACGGCAGCACAGUAAGAGCUUGCUCUUACGGGUGGCGAGUGGCGGACGGGUGAGGAAUACAUCGGAAUCUACUUUUUCGUGGGGAAUACCGAGGGAAAAUUACGGCUAUAACCCAAUAGAACCACCGGGGAAAGGAAGGGGACUUUGGGCCUUUGCCCGUUGGAUGAAGCCGAUGUCGGAUUAGCUAGUUGGCGGGGUAAAGGCCCACCAAGGCGACGAUCCGUAGCUGGUCUGAGAGGAUGAUCAGCCACACUGGAACUGAGACACGGUCCAGACUCCUACGGGAGGCAGCAGUGGGGAAUAUUGGACAAUGGGCGCAAGCCUGAUCCAGCCAUACCGCGUGGGUGAAGAAGGCCUUCGGGUUGUAAAGCCCUUUUGUUGGGAAAGAAAAGCAGCAGGUUAAUACCCCGCUGUUCUGACGGUACCCAAAGAAUAAGCACCGGCUAACUUCGUG
RNAcentral lists this ribosomal RNA (492 nucleotides) under uncultured bacterium. RNAcentral's name for it is "partial 16S ribosomal RNA". It matches the Rfam family "Bacterial small subunit ribosomal RNA", at positions 29 to 507 of the family's 1533-position model. The record is from RNAcentral.